This 457-nucleotide ribosomal RNA is filed under the name uncultured bacterium. Its description in RNAcentral is "bacterial SSU rRNA". It matches the Rfam family "Bacterial small subunit ribosomal RNA", at positions 340 to 789 of the family's 1533-position model. The record is from RNAcentral.
UACGGAAGGCAGCAGUGGGGAAUAUUGCACAAUGGGCGCAAGCCUGAUGCAGCCAUGCCGCGUGUAUGAAGAAGGCCUUCGGGUUGUAAAGUACUUUCAGUCGUGAGGAAGGUGUUAAGGUUAAUAACCUUAGCAAUUGACGUUAGCGACAGAAGAAGUACCGGCUAACUCCGUGCCAGCAGCCGCGGUAAUACGGAGGGUGCGAGCGUUAAUCGGAAUUACUGGGCGUAAAGGGCACGCAGGCGGUUAAUUAAGUUGGAUGUGAAAUCCCCGGGCUUAACCUGGGAAUGGCAUUCAAGACUGGUUAGCUAGAGUCUUGUAGAGGGGGUAGAAUUCCAUGUGUAGCGGUGAAAUGCGUAGAGAUGUGGAGGAAUACCGGUGGCGAAGGCGGCCCCUGGACAAAGACUGACGCUCAUGUGCGAAAACGUGGGGAGCGAAACAGGGAUUAGAUACCCGU